RNAcentral lists this ribosomal RNA (497 nucleotides) under uncultured bacterium. RNAcentral's name for it is "partial 16S ribosomal RNA". It matches the Rfam family "Bacterial small subunit ribosomal RNA", at positions 28 to 507 of the family's 1533-position model. The record is from RNAcentral.
GACGAACGCUGGCGGCGUGCCUAAUACAUGCAAGUUGAGCGCUGAAGGUUGGUACUUGUACCAACUGGAUGAGCAGCGAACGGGUGAGUAACGCGUGGGGAAUCUGCCUUUGAGCGGGGGACAACAUUUGGAAACGAAUGCUAAUACCGCAUAAAAACUUUAAACACAAGUUUUAAGUUUGAAAGAUGCAAUUGCAUCACUCAAAGAUGAUCCCGCGUUGUAUUAGCUAGUUGGUGAGGUAAAGGCUCACCAAGGCGAUGAUACAUAGCCGACCUGAGAGGGUGAUCGGCCACAUUGGGACUGAGACACGGCCCAAACUCCUACGGGAGGCAGCAGUAGGGAAUCUUCGGCAAUGGACGAAAGUCUGACCGAGCAACGCCGCGUGAGUGAAGAAGGGUUUCGGAUCGUAAAACUCUGUUGGUAGAGAAGAACGUUGGUGAGAGUGGAAAGCUCGUCAAGUGACGGUAACUACCCAGAAAGGGACGGCUAACUACGUG